This 209-nucleotide ribosomal RNA is filed under the name Klebsiella pneumoniae. RNAcentral's name for it is "partial 23S ribosomal RNA". It matches the Rfam family "Bacterial large subunit ribosomal RNA", at positions 785 to 991 of the family's 2925-position model. Lineage: Bacteria; Pseudomonadati; Pseudomonadota; Gammaproteobacteria; Enterobacterales; Enterobacteriaceae. The record is from RNAcentral.
AAUGUUGAAAAAUUAGCGGAUGACUUGUGGCUGGGGGUGAAAGGCCAAUCAAACCGGGAGAUAGCUGGUUCUCCCCGAAAGCUAUUUAGGUAGCGCCUCGUGAAUUCAUCUUCGGGGGUAGAGCACUGUUUCGGCUAGGGGGUCAUCCCGACUUACCAACCCGAUGCAAACUACGAAUACCGAAGAAUGUUAUCACGGGAGACACACGG